This 1310-nucleotide unclassified non-coding RNA is filed under the name Leishmania donovani. Its description in RNAcentral is "gene:LdHU3.15.0350(CDS-product:WD_domain_G-beta_r epeat_putative)". Lineage: Eukaryota; Euglenozoa; Kinetoplastea; Trypanosomatida; Trypanosomatidae. The record is from RNAcentral.
AACGCACGCCGUCCUCGCUCGCAGUCUCGUCGCCCCCCACCCCUAGUAGCGCCUCUCUUUUUUUUCCGGCCACAAUGAGCUCCGCAUCUGCGUAUGGUCUGGACGGGCAAGCGAGGUCGCUGUGCUCGCUGUAUCACCCAUCGCUAAAUUCCCAGGAGUGUCACCGCUUUCUCAUCGGAACCGCCAACCCUUCAGUGGAGAACAAGAUUCACCUCAUCGAGUAUCAGGACGACACAAAAUCGUUAGAGUGUGCCACGGUAUGGUCACACAACGACCCAGUGAUGGGUUUGUGGUGCUCACCCUCUCUUUCGGCGGACAGUCUCCUCGCUGUCUCAUCGCUGCAGAAAUUGGAGGUUUUCCAAAUUUCGGAAAAUGUAUUGAGUGAGCCCAAGUGCAUUGCCACAAUGAACAAGAGCUACAGCUGUGUGUUAUGGGAUUUGGACGGGCUCCAGAGAGAAUUCAGGGCAGUCCAUCAAAACACGCUGAUCACGGUCUUGUUGAGUUCCUCUAAGCUCGGUUCGGAAACGGUCAACUACACAAGUAGCGGAGGAGCCAUUCGCUGCGCCGCCUUAGCGCCUUACGACCCCAAUCUCUGCCUUAUUUCUUGUGAUUCUGAUGGGCUGCAGCUUGUUGAUCUGCGCAGCAAAAAAGCUUCUUCCUUCGCGGCCACUAAGUACAGCCACGGUUUCGGCUACACGACGGCGGUCGACUUUGAUCGUUUAAAGCCCGGGCAGUUUCUCUCCGCAGGCACGGACGGCUACGUGUACAUUCACGACAUCCGCUACAAUGCCUCCUGCUCUCUCGCAAUGCUGCGGCACAUGAAAGCACAUGAGCACGCGGUGCAGAGCUGCUUGUUCAACUCAUUUCGAGACGAACUUGUUCUGUCAUGUAGCUCAGAUGAAACUGUCAAGCUGUGGGAUGUUGAGCAGAACAACGAACCAAAGUGCCUUCGGCGACUAGCAGACUACGGAGACAGCGUUGUUGCCCUCUGUUGGAGUGGCAAUAGCCCGUGGGUUUUUGCAGGCUUGUCUUUCAACGGAAAACUCCUCGUCGACACCGUUCCCAACGAAAAGAAAAUGAGCAUUUUGCUCGACGAAAAGAAGUGGUGUGAGACCUGACAGUGUAUUUUAUUGUUGUUUUGUUCUCUUCACAUACUUCCCUUUCUCCUGCCUUUAAAGAAAGGGUUUUGGGUUAGAUGCUUGUAGGUCGACCGACACGCAGAAGCUGCUCUUCAGUGAUGAUGAUAAUUAUCGCAAUACGUGCUGCCGCUUUGUGUGGGCUCUUAGACAACUUUCUGAAAGCUGCCGUUG